GGAUGCAGUAACUCUGACUGUAAUAAAGUAGCAUAAUUAGUUGUCAUUUAAUUGAUGGAGAGAAUGAAUGGUUAAACGAAUAUUUCACUGUCUUAAAAAAAAUUUUUUAAAAUUGAAAUAAUAGUUAAGAUGCUAUUUAAAAUUGUAAGACGAAGAGACCCUAUAGAGCUUUACUAUAAAUUUCUUUUUUAGAAAAUAAUAAAAAAUUAUUUAAUUUAGGGAAUUUGGUAGUUUAGUUGGGGCGACUGUUUUUUAAAAAUAACAAAAAUAAGCAAUAUAAUAUUAUUAUUUAUUGUAUAAUUAAAUAAUUUAACAAUUACUAUAGUAGGCUAUAAUGACCCGUUAUUAUAAUGAACAAUAAAUAACGAUUAAUUAAUAAAAGCUACCUUAGGGAUAACAGGA
This 402-nucleotide ribosomal RNA is filed under the name Hydra oxycnida. RNAcentral describes it as "partial 16S ribosomal RNA". It matches the Rfam family "Bacterial large subunit ribosomal RNA", at positions 1929 to 2482 of the family's 2925-position model. Lineage: Eukaryota; Metazoa; Cnidaria; Hydrozoa; Anthoathecata; Hydridae. The record is from RNAcentral.